AAUUAAGAGAACAUGAUGUUGGUUCAGAUCUAAUGCUAUGUAGAGACAUAACACAUGCAAGUUAAUAAAAUAAAGCGUUAAGGUGAGUUUUAUAAGAUAAUAAAAAAUCUUAUACAGAUGUAGGUAAUAGAUAAAAAAAUCUAGCCAUGGAACUGGAGCCGACGAUAAGCGUCACAACGGCCACAUUGAUAAAAAAAAUCAACUCUUAUAAAGAGCAGCAGUGGGGAAUCUUUGACAAUGGUCUAACGACUGAUCAAGUUAUCUACGAGAAAAAUAUUAAAAAUAAAAAACUAAUAAAAGAUUAACUAUAAAUUUCUAAAUAAUAGUAAUAAUGAUACUAAUUAUGAAAGAGUCCUAACUAAAAUAUGUGCCAGCAGCUGCGGUUAGACAUAGAGGGCAAGCAUUGAUCAGAAUGGCUUAAAGGAUCUGUAGAACGUAUUUUAAAAUAUAUAAAAAUAUAGAAUAAUAAAAGGUAAUAAGAAUUAAAGUUAGAGGGAUAAAAUACUAAGAAAACAUUAAGACUAUAAAGAGAUUACUUAAAAUUAUUGACGUUGUGAGAUGAAGGCUACGGUAGCGACAUGGAUUCGAUACCCAUUUAGUCGUAGCAGUAAACGAUGAAUACAAUAUAAGAAUAAUUAAAAUGAAUAGUAUUCCGCCUGACUAGUACGCUCGCAAGGGUGAAAUACAAGACAUUAGACGGUUGUAGUCCCAAGCAGUGGAACAUGUCAUUUAAUUGGAUGAUCCUCCAAGAACCUUACCAUCUCUUGAAUUAUUAACAGGCGUUACAUCGUUGUCGUCAGUUCAUGCCGUGAGGUUUAAUAUUAAGUUAUUGAAUGAACGGAACCCUUUUCUUUUAGAUAAGUAUAAUUGUAAAAUUAUAGGAAGUAGAGGUUGAAGACUAAUCAUGAUGACCCUAAUGAGAUGGGCUAUCGACGUGUUACAAUAUUAAUAACAAUUAUAUUAAUUUUUUAAUUAAAUUAUAUCCUUAUUAUAUAGGGGUUUUAUUAAAUAUUAAGAAAAAGACAUAGUUUCAUUUAUGGAUUGUAAUCUGAAAUUCGGUUACAUAAAGGAGGAAUUGCUAGUAAUCGUAAACAAUAGAGUUACGGUGAAAUUUUUUGCUACUUCGUACUAACCACUCAUCAACAGCAAGAAAUUUAUUUUUUACUUAUUGAGUUCUUAUUUAAAGGACUUGCUGUAAGUUGAAAUACGGUUCGGUUAGGGGAACCUGAUCGGGAUUUAUUUAUUUA
Molecule: ribosomal RNA, 1247 nt
Filed under: Metschnikowia kamakouana
Lineage: Eukaryota; Fungi; Ascomycota; Pichiomycetes; Serinales; Metschnikowiaceae
Description: small subunit ribosomal RNA
Rfam family: Bacterial small subunit ribosomal RNA
Source: RNAcentral